CCUACGGGAGGCAGCAGUGGGGAAUAUUGCACAAUGGGGGAAACCCUGAUGCAGCGACGCCGCGUGGGUGAAGAAGUAUUUCGGUACGUAAAGCUCUAUCAGCAGGGAAGAAAAUGACGGUACCUGACUAAGAAGCCCCGGCUAACUACGUGCCAGCAGCCGCGGUAAUACGUAGGGGGCACGCGUUAUCCGGAUUUACGGGGUGUAAAGGGAGCGUAGACGGCAGCGCAAGUCUGGAGUGAAAUCCCAUGGCUUAACCAUGGAACUGCUUUGGAAACUGUGCAGCUAGAGUGCAGGAGAGGUAAGCGGAAUUCCUAGUGUAGCGGUGAAAUGCGUAGAUAUUAGGAGGAACACCAGUGGCGAAGGCGGCUUACUGGACUGUAACUGACGUUGAGGCUCGAAAGCGUGGGGAGCAAACAGGAUUAGAUACCCUGGUAGUC
This 440-nucleotide ribosomal RNA is filed under the name uncultured bacterium. RNAcentral describes it as "partial 16S ribosomal RNA". It matches the Rfam family "Bacterial small subunit ribosomal RNA", at positions 338 to 795 of the family's 1533-position model. The record is from RNAcentral.